GUGGGGAAUAUUGGACAAUGGGCGCAAGCCUGAUCCAGCCAUGCCGCGUGAGUGAUGAAGGCCUUAGGGUUGUAAAGCUCUUUCACCGAUGAAGAUAAUGACGGUAGUCGGAGAAGAAGCCCCGGCUAACUUCGUGCCAGCAGCCGCGGUAAUACGAAGGGGGCUAGCGUUGUUCGGAUUUACUGGGCGUAACGCGCACGUAGGCGGUUUGUUAAGUCAGAGGUGAAAUCCCGGAGCUCAACUCCGGAACUGCCUUUGAUACUGGCAAGCUAGAGUCCGGAAGAGGUAAGUGGAACUCCUAGUGUAGAGGUGGAAUUCGUAGAUAUUAGGAAGAACACCAGUGGCGAAGGCGGCUUACUGGUCCGGAACUGACGCUGAGGUGCGAAAGCGUGGGGAGCAAACAGGAUUAGAUACCCUUGUAGUCC
This 425-nucleotide ribosomal RNA is filed under the name uncultured bacterium. Its description in RNAcentral is "partial 16S ribosomal RNA". It matches the Rfam family "Bacterial small subunit ribosomal RNA", at positions 354 to 796 of the family's 1533-position model. The record is from RNAcentral.